UUGGCAGACGCUUUUAUUCAAAUGACUUUAUUUUCUAUAUGGUUAAAUCUGUGUGCAGUUGUGUUCUUUUGCAUUAUAUGUUAUCAGUUCAUGCAGUGCACUGCUGUUUGAGCAACCCAAUGCAUGCUGGGCAUCAAAAGGAAUAAAAGGACUGUUGUUGCUUUUUUCCACCACUGGCACAGACAAAAAUGCCUAUAUUCUGUCUGAAAUGGAUGCAACCGCAAUGGUGCUUUUUACUAAGCACUGCAGUCAGAGAUGCAUCACUAGCACACCAAUCAAAAUAUCCGUUACCAUCCGCACCCGCUCAAAUGCCAGCCAAUAGGAAGUCUGCACGCCAGGUCCAGGUCCUUGCCGGAGCCGAUCACAGGCUCCAGGAACGCCAACAGCAAGGUAAUUCAUUCUAAUUAGGCCGUUUGCCAUUCCCGAGUCUGUCCUAACUCGGCCAGCUGCUACCUGAGAAUGCUGCUCUUCAAUCAAAACCAGCGGCCGACUCUUGUCUUUCAUCGUUGGGGAAACCAUCAGGGCGACAGGGAAGAGCUCGACUCAUGUUCGGCUACAAAACAGCACGGCGGUCGGCGGAUGUUUAAAAUGGCCAAGCAUUACUCAACCGAAGGAGCUUAACUGUUGUCUUUGGCCGUCUGGCUUGGUUCUUUUUCUAAUAAUGGCUAAAGUUUCAUGCUUUAGAGCUGUAACAACAUGGAACAAGGCAGCACCAAUGAAUAUAUUAAGGUCUUUCGAGCUUCAUCAGGAAGCAUAAAGCACAGAGAAAGGACCUCUUCAAACUGUUAGGGACCACAAUGAGGUCUAAAUCCCGCACGGGACACUUAGGGACAGAGUUCUGACCCAAUUCACAACCAAACAGGAAGAAAUGGCCGAAUCCUAACAAGAUUUAUUUUCAUUUGCUUUCAAGACGCGGCGGAGGCAGGAACUAGCUUUCGCUCGCUGUAUCUUUAAAGGACUUGAAGUUUUCUUGGCAGCUCAGGGAAGAACUGCAAGUUCAGCCAAAAUAGACAAUAAAGCAAAGGGGAGGAACAUGCCAAAAUGAAGGGGGCAACUAGUUCCAGGGGUUCAUUUUUCCUUCAUGAUUCACGCUGGAAAAGAAAGCACUUCCCUGUCCUCAUAUGAACUCUCGCCGCGCUCUGCGACUCUCACAAGGAAGCGCUGGGGGAGGGGACGGCCACGCGCAUUUUUGCGCGCUCGCAGAACUGGGUCAACUGCAGACGAGUCAAAAGAAGCGAGAGAGGUAAACAAACCGGCGAAAACUCGCACGUACAGAGACUCAGAGUCAAUGAAAGAGAAUCUUUUCUCCUCAGCACUCGUGACUAUCCAGACUCUCGCUGCAGCUGCGCGUGACUCCACUGUAUUCAACAGAUCGCGCUCUCGCGGCGGCCUCAAGUUGCUUCCAACUGUCCUGAGGUUCUUCUACUGAUUAUAUGCUUUGUAGAGGAAUUAAACUGAAAUGUUUUUGACACAAGGGAGAUGCCAGAUCGCUCACUGCGCGCGCAAUUGUAAAAAACAACAACCCAUAAGAAGCUAAAUUGAUGCAAAAGCUUGCAUUUAGUCACUGCAGUUGUGGUUUUGUUACUUUUGAGCAUCAUUAAUUUUAGUUUGUUUUUUAUGCCUUCUCUAAAUAAUAAUAAUAAUAAAAGCUCUUCUUAAUG
This is a long non-coding RNA of Cyprinus carpio carpio, 1661 nucleotides long. NCBI's taxonomy places the organism in Eukaryota, Metazoa, Chordata, Actinopteri, Cypriniformes, Cyprinidae. The record is from Ensembl.